UCCUACGGGAGGCAGCAGUGGGGAAUCUUCCGCAAUGGGCGAAAGCCUGACGGAGCGACACCGCGUGGGGGAUGAAGGUCUUCGGAUCGUAAACCCCUUUAAAGAGGGACGAGUAAGGACGGUACCUCUUCAAAAAGCCACGGCUAACUGCGUGCCAGCAGCCGCGGUAAGACGUGGGUGGCGAGCGUUAUCCGGAUUUAUUGGGCGUAAAGGGCCCGCAGGUGGUUCUUAAAGUCUCCGGUCAAAUUUCAGGGCCUAACCCUGAAUCGCCGGAGAUACUCAGGGGCUAGAGGAGAGAAGAGGGAAGUGGAAUUCCCGGUGGAGCGGUGAAAUGCGUAGAUAUCGGGAGGAACACCAGUGGCGAGGGCGGCUUUCUAGGCUGUGACUGACGCUCAGGUGCGA
This 402-nucleotide ribosomal RNA is filed under the name uncultured bacterium. Its description in RNAcentral is "bacterial SSU rRNA". It matches the Rfam family "Bacterial small subunit ribosomal RNA", at positions 337 to 756 of the family's 1533-position model. The record is from RNAcentral.